AGGCGGUGCAUGGCUGUCGUCAAUUCGUGUUUGAUAUGUUUGGUUAAGUCCCGGAAACGAAUGUAACCCCCAAUUUAUUUAGUAAAAAUAUAAAUAUAAAAAUAUUAUUUGAAAAUAAAUUGACUGCUUACGAAAUGUAAGAUGAAGGUGAGGACCAUGUCAAGUCGUUAUGCCCUUUAUAGGUUGGGCUAUCCAUAUGAUACAAUGGUAAAUACAAAUAGUGGCUAAAUUUUAACAUUUGGCUAAUCUUAAAAUUUACCUUAGUUCGAAUUGUUAUCUGAAACUUGGUAACAUGCAGUAGGAAUAGCUAGUAAUCGUUUUUCAUAACAGGACGGUGAAUAUGUUUUUGGUUCGAGUACAGACUGCCCGUCAAGCGCCUAGAGUUGAAUUUAGUGGUAUUUAUCGUGAAUUUUUGGGCUGUAUUAUUAUAAUUGUAAUUUAAAAAGUUAAAUUAUAUAAAAUCUAAAAAAAAUUGGUAAAGAUAUUAUUUUUGGCGAUG
RNAcentral lists this ribosomal RNA (499 nucleotides) under uncultured bacterium. RNAcentral's name for it is "partial 16S ribosomal RNA". The stretch from base 1 to 381 matches the Rfam family "Bacterial small subunit ribosomal RNA", at positions 1036 to 1533 of the family's 1533-position model. The record is from RNAcentral.